RNAcentral lists this long non-coding RNA (971 nucleotides) under Homo sapiens (human). RNAcentral's name for it is "non-protein coding lnc-RXRG-3:2". The record is from RNAcentral. Lineage: Eukaryota; Metazoa; Chordata; Mammalia; Primates; Hominidae.
GUGGGUCUGGAGGAUUUUCUUGAAUUUGUCGUCUAGUUGUUCUAUUGAUCUUUUUCUUUAGCAACUCCAUCUUUAAUGUGCAAUAACUCUGGUUUGCUCUUGAAGAGUGGGUGUAAGAGCCUUCUAAUCAGAGAGCAUAGCAUGUUCAAAGGCUCUAGAAUAGGAGAGAGGAUGGUGUGUUCUAGGCACUGAAAGGAGGCUUUUUGGAUAAGUGUUUUCAUGGUGGGAAAUGAGCUGGAACUUGAAUGAUAGGUAAGAAUUUUAGUGAUGAGAAAAAGUAAAUGGGCAUGAACAAUGAACUACGUGUUAGUCCUUUUAGUGUUGUUAUAAAGAAAUACCUGAGGCUGGGUAACUGUGACCUGGGCAUUUGAUCUCUAGUCUAUGGUUGGGCUCCAGAUGUGAAAAGCCUCCUCAAUUCCCACCUCAGUCCCAUUCAGAGCUGAGAAUUGCUUUUUCCUUUACAUCUUAGUUCAUUGGCAGGGACUAGUCCAAAUUUAUAUGGGGCUGAGCUGCAGAACACUUCCAGAAAAGCCCUUACUCAAAUUUAUAAUAUUGUUGCUUUAAUAUAGUGAAAAGAGCACCAGGAGGAAGAGGAGGCAGGAAGAGGUAGUGUGCUGAGUUUGGUUCCCAAUUUUUCACCUAGUAGCUGUGUGACCUUAGGCAAGCUAGUGAACCUCUCUGAGCCUUAGCACCUUUCUCUCUAAAAUGGGAUUUAUAAUCUCAUCCUUAGAGUAUUGUGAAAAUUAAAUGAGUUAGCAUGUGAAAAACAGCUGCUAUAGUGUUGUCCAUAUAUUUGCUACCUAAUACAAUAUUUUCUUCCCCUCUAUUUUACUCAGAGACUAACAUGCAAAAUAGUUAAAAAUCAGACAUUAUUGUAAAAUAAUAAAUAAGGAAUCUGGGAAAAUAAAAUUAAAUCCACAAAGACCCUCAUAUUUUGCUGGCAUAGAUUUUCAUAAUUGUGGGGGCUCUGA